GAUGAACGCUGGCGGCGUGCUUAACACAUGCAAGUCGAACGGAAAGGCUCCUGCUUGCAGGGGUACUCGAGUGGCGAACGGGUGAGUAACACGUGGGUGAUCUGCCCUGCACUUCGGGAUAAGCCUGGGAAACUGGGUCUAAUACCGGAUAGGACCACAUUUUGGAUGGUGUGGUGGAAAGUUUUUCGGUGUGGGAUGAGCUCGCGGCCUAUCAGCUUGUUGGUGGGGUAAUGGCCUACCAAGGCGUCGACGGGUAGCCGGCCUGAGAGGGUGUACGGCCACAUUGGGACUGAGAUACGGCCCAGACUCCUACGGGAGGCAGCAGUGGGGAAUAUUGCACAAUGGGCGGAAGCCUGAUGCAGCGACGCCGCGUGGGGGAUGACGGCCUUCGGGCUGUAAACUCCUUUCGCUAGGGACGAAGCGCAAGUGACGGUAACUGGAGAAGAAGCACCGGCUAACUACGUG
RNAcentral lists this ribosomal RNA (465 nucleotides) under uncultured bacterium. Its description in RNAcentral is "partial 16S ribosomal RNA". It matches the Rfam family "Bacterial small subunit ribosomal RNA", at positions 28 to 507 of the family's 1533-position model. The record is from RNAcentral.